This 253-nucleotide ribosomal RNA is filed under the name uncultured bacterium. RNAcentral describes it as "partial 16S ribosomal RNA". It matches the Rfam family "Bacterial small subunit ribosomal RNA", at positions 524 to 776 of the family's 1533-position model. The record is from RNAcentral.
UACGUAGGGGGCUAGCGUUGCUCGGAAUCACUGGGCGUAAAGCGCACGUAGGCGGCUUGUUAAGUCAGGGGUGAAAUCCUGGAGCUCAACUCCAGAACUGCCUUUGAUACUGGCGAUCUCGAGUCCGGGAGAGGUGAGUGGAACUCCGAGUGUAGAGGUGAAAUUCGUAGAUAUUCGCAAGAACACCAGUGGCGAAGGCGGCUCACUGGCCCGAUACUGACGCUGAGGCACGAAAGCGUGGGGAGCAAACAGG